Long non-coding RNA from Formica exsecta, 1786 nucleotides. RefSeq lists it as uncharacterized. The record is from RefSeq and is a predicted model, not a curated record. The transcript is spliced from 3 exons. NCBI's taxonomy places the organism in Eukaryota, Metazoa, Arthropoda, Insecta, Hymenoptera, Formicidae.
CGUCGAAAAUCGAAACUAAUACUACUAUGAAAAACGAACUCUGCUACGGAAAGCACUAUACGAACUCUCGAUACGGAUAAUAGGAUGAAACUAAAUAAUCAUUGCUUUCGGCAUUAUGCAUGGAACACUAGGGCGUUUGCCACGGUGAAGGAUGAGCAUGCGUGAUUCCACGCACACGGCCCAACUCCUAAUUACUUGGAGAUAAAUAUCACUCGGCGCUUGCGAAUAGCGUGCUCCUGCGGCGCCGUCUGAAAGAUCGUCAGUCAAACCAGUGAGCUACGGUUGGAUGUUAUCGCGAGCCGUAGUAAUCUUUAAUUAUACUGAUUUUGGGCUAAAGAUGCAUUUAAAACGCGAGGUGAAAGCAGCUUAACUCGCUCUUUCACAUCGUUCACACCAAUUCCGAUGUUAAUAUUUUGAUUUUAUAAAUCUGCAAUUAUUUCAUGUAAAAAUUGUAUGUACUUUUGGAUAAAAUCUCAGCAUAUAUUAAAGAUUAUUUUAUUUAUUUUAAUUCAAUUUAAACAGUGAUUACAAAUAGUGUAUAAAAACAUAAAAACAUUGCUCUGAUAAAAAUGUGCUUAAAAUCUGUAUUUUCUACGAAAUAAUUAUAGAUAUUCUGUUAUAAUAUUAAUAAAAUAGUAAUUCAAGUAUUUAUAUAUAAGAAAUGUGAGAAACAGUUCAACAGAUAAAAAGUUUACAUACAAAGUUUAAAUGCACAUUUGUCGAAACAGUUUUUCAUUUUCUCUUAGACACCGCUUUAAUCGAAUUUACUUUUGAUUGAAAUAAAAUCAUCUUUAUUCUAAAAAUUCAAAAACACUAUCUAAUAGCAGUAUCAGUGUAUAAGGUAUUGUUCUCCUAAUUAAAUUAAUAGUUAGAGUAAGCUACGCAGCGCAUAACAUUAAUCCUCGUGGUAUUAGUAACACGUUGAAGACUUGAGCCGAGAUCCCAAAGAGAAAGAGAAACGCAGAGAGAUGUCGGAAGAGAGACGAGAGAGGAGAGAGAAAGAGAGAGAGAGAGAGAGAGAGAGAGAGAAGAGAGCACUGAGAGAGUCUGAAGGACGACAACACUAAGAGUUCAAGCCACGUUAAGGUUUCAGGAUAGCAGGAUAUUAUACCUUCAGAAUGGUAGACCAACCGGAAGGAGAUGAGAAGUAGAGCAUAGCUGGGAAUACUGGAAGAGGCACUUUGAAGUGUCCAAGAAGGACAAUUAUGUUAGCAUGCAACCCGGUAGUACCAGGAGAACGCCGGAUAUUACGACAGCUGAUGGGGACAGAGCUCGUGGAACGAUCAAUAAUAUAAUACCACGUCGCCCCAGGUACCACCAUGCUAUCACACCAUCAAACAUCGUGCUUCCCAUACCUCGAGAUCUGGUUAGCCUUUUUAUCUACACACGCGCUAUUGCAUGCUCUUUUUUUAGAAUUCGUGCAAAGGUGAGGAUCUGUAUAAUGAUCAGAGCCCUAAAAAUUACAUCUUUUCGCGAAAUAAAUGAAUAUCAAAAAAAAAUGCAAUUUUACUAAAAAAAUAUUUUUGAAACAAGACAUAUCGUGUUGGAAAACAAUACAAAUGCAUUAUAUAAAUUUAUUAACUUAAUAAGUUUAAUUAACUUUUCAAUAUGCUCAAUUGUAAAAUUAAUAUAUGUAAGAUUAUGAAAGAUUAUGACAUAGAUAUGGAACAAAUUAAAUAUUUAUGUAUUAAAUAUCCAUUGAGAUAAAUUCGUUAAUUUUGCUCAUAAUGAGAGAUAUCGAACUUAAUAAAGAUAUUACAAAUAUCAUUUCUUUUUGUGUGUGUGU